UAAUAACAACAACAAGAGAAAUACAAUGCUUCACGAUCAUAGUUUUUCUGAUUAGGCCAGAUAAAAAACAAAAACUCAAAAAUAUGUUGGGCUCAGAUAUAACAUGUUUUGUGGUAUUAUCUGAACAAUCACAGACACGAAAAAAAGAGAAAUUUGUCUCAGAGGCUGUAAUUCUGAGAAAGUCAUAGGUAGAACUGAUAGAAGUUGGACUCUUCGAGUUUAUAUUUGAUCUGGAAAACUACCCAAAACAGACCUGACAUUAAUCUGAUAGCUGGUUACCGAGUUAGUAGCGACAUCUUUGUCUUAGAUUAGGUUUCAAGAUAAAAGAUGUUGCAGGGUACCUCAAGCAACAACAGAGCAUCAGUUCAACCCCUGAAAUGGCGGCUGACCCAGCAAACAAAAUAAAAUCCCCUUGACGUCCUCUACUGGUCCUCUCUGAACGUUCCCUAAACGUAAAUGUGUAUGGUUCCCUUGACAGCCCGAGCCCCGAGGACGUUCUGCAGGACGUUCCAAGAAUGUCCCGAGGACAUUGCGGUGACAUCUGGGAAACGUUUUCUAGAGGUCCUGGGGACGUCCCCUGUUUGCUGGGGAGUAGCAUUCACUGGAGGACCUGAUGCUAUAUAAUACAAAGUGAGGCAUCAGCGUUAUUCUAUCUGUCAAUCCGUAAUGGUAAACUAACAAGGAUAGCUACACCAAACUUGGGAAUGUCAGUUUGUCAGUUAACACUGACAAAGGCUAAAAAGUACCCUUACCUCAGUACAUCUUUCAAGCAACUUCAGUUGGGGAAUGGAAGUCUUAAAUUCAGCGAUCCCAAACAGUCUUUAAUUACAGGAAUAGCUAACGUUAAGCUGGAUAAGUAACUAUGUUACUCUGUUGUCUCUGAUUGUGCAGCAAUGCAAUCAACUGACCUGUGAAGUUACCUUAUGAUUGCGACUGGUCUUGGUCAUAACUAAUUUUUUUUAUUUGCAUAUCCCACGGUAUCUUCUUUGUAUUAACGUGUGUGCACUACCAAAUGUUGAAGGUUUGAACUGUUGUCAGGUUGUGGCACCAGUUGACCCUGAAAUUGACCGACUUUGUGCAAGACCCCUGCACGGGUGAUGGUCUUAUUCAGGUAAACACACUCAGGUCUCUAUGUUCAAUAAAUUGACACAGAUGUAGGCUACACUUUGCUGCUUUGUUUACAGUGUUCCAUUGUAAUUGUUCUUGCUCCUUGUUUAUUCUAGCUCUAUUAGAACUUAUUGAGUGACUUUGAACACAAAAGAAAUCAAAGUAAAACCAUCUUUUUUUCUCAUUUUCUUUACCAUCCCUUCCUCUUUACAGAAUCAAUCCACUCUCCUUGGUGGAAAUAAGUCUGUAUGUAGUCAGACAGAUGUAGGGUAAAUAUUUAAUAUAUUUACGCUGCAUAUAAAAUUGUCAGUACCACACACCAUCACCAAAUGAAAGACUUGAUGUUAUAAUAAAUAGUAUCCCAAUGAUGCCAUAGCAUUCCUUAAAGAGGAAAAAAGAGAAAGUACUAUUAAGAACAAACGUAAUUAAUACUGUUGGCAUGGGUAAAAAAAAAAUAUAUAUAUUUUGCCAGGCCCAGUGAAAUGGAAACUUGACAUUGCAUCAAACUCUUACACAUGCCAUUGUGAAUCUUUUUUUUAACGUUUUAGCAUCUUUGCCUCUUUACUAGGUGAAGAGCAGCGAAGAGGCAGUUAUACUCUGUAAGACCUCCAUCGGAAGCCUUAAACUGGACAUUAAUGAUCUCCCUGUGACAAAGAAGCGAAUUUAGGAGGUGUAGGAGACGCUGAAUAAUUUGCCAGGUGUUACGUCAGUCCAUGGACGCUUCUAUGAUUUAUCCAGCAAGUACUAUCGCUUUGUUGGGAACCAUGCCCUCUACUACAAAGAUGCUUUACGCUACCUGGGUUGUGUGGAUAUAAAAGACAUUCCAGCUCAUGCACCCUGUGCUGGAGACUCUGAGGGACACAGACAAGCAGUGGCUGAUUGACACCCUCUCUAUGCCUUCAACUGAGGGAAUGUUGAGAAGUUCCAGGCCCUGAAAACAGCAUGGGGCCAACAGGUGACUUCUGACUCUCUCUGGAGACAGCUUUGAUUUGCAUUGCCAAUUAUAUUGAUCUGAGUUGCUCAGCUGGCACAGGCAGCAUAACAACAAUAAAGAUGUGUAUGGGGAAAUUAGUAGAAAUCAUAAUUUGAGCCAGUAAUUUCAGCUGCAAAUGCCACAUGAGUCAUCUUGCUAGAAACACUGGGGAAUUACAUGGGGAGAACUGAUUGGCUGAUGGUAGGAACAUCAACCAUGGUAUGCUCAAUUCAAGUAUGCAAGCCAAACUGUAAUAGGCUGCAGGCAGGCUAAAACAUUUGUGUCCUUUAACA
Molecule: long non-coding RNA, 2373 nt
Organism: Clupea harengus (Atlantic herring)
Lineage: Eukaryota; Metazoa; Chordata; Actinopteri; Clupeiformes; Clupeidae
Exons: 3
Source: RefSeq, a predicted model, not a curated record